This 306-nucleotide long non-coding RNA is filed under the name Lathyrus oleraceus (garden pea). RNAcentral's name for it is "Pisum sativum (pea) long non-coding RNA (PSAT_LNC005004)". Lineage: Eukaryota; Viridiplantae; Streptophyta; Magnoliopsida; Fabales; Fabaceae. The record is from RNAcentral.
CAACUUCUUGUAGUUUCAUCUACACCAACCCCCCGACAAAAUGUCUAUCCUCACAAUGGGCGAAUCACAUAGAGGAACGGUUGCAAACAUCGCAACAUAUGUAAGUUUUUACUUUUGUUAACUUUUUAUCUUUCAUCUUCACCAACCCCCUUUUAUUUUAACAUACCAACUUAGUUAAGUUUUUUUUUCUUUCUUUUAUAGGAUGUAUCAAGGUUCCGAACUCGGGUCCACGAAUAUGUCCAUAUGGACCCAAUGAUUCAACCUUAUGUUGAACUCGCCGAUUUUGGUCAUAUAAGCAAGAUUUUG